GAGGGAGAGAGAGAGAGAGAGAGAGAGAGAGAGAGGUUAUUUGAGAUGACAGUGCUUCAAUGUCCCGAACAUUCUCACAUCUAAUUACAAAUGGAACACGAUCGAUAUCUGAAGCUUGUUGAUGAUCCGAUUCUCCGAUUCAUCUCCUGUUCGUUCCACUUCAGCACUUGCGGGGGUGUUGGGCUGAGAUCGGACCUGUCUAUCCUGACUCGAGCACCAUCUCUUUCAUAAACAAGCAAAAGAGAAAUAAGGGGAAACCUCGGACGAAUAACCGCUGGGGAGACGCAGGCAGUCAGGAUCGUCUGCUCUGCCGGGAACAGGAGGCGGAGACGGAGGGAGGAGAACCGUCGCCGUUUUUACUCCGUCCGCUUCCAGACGUGUUUGGUUGAUUGUUCUCGCUGUUCCUAACAACCGUUUAAUCUCGACACGCCACAGAAUUUCAUAUAAAAAUGCUAAUUUAUGGUUCCUGCUGCCACUCCGACACAGACGGACGGAUGAUCACCUGGAUUCGGGGAUCUGCUGCGCAGGACAGGAAACGAAGCCGAUUUGCCCUCGGAUUCUCAUCGACCGUUUCUCGGCAGUGUUCUUGCUGCCAGUCACAGUGGAGCUCAUGCUACUCGGUUCAUCACACAGAACAGUCACACAGUCAGUCAGCGACUGAGGAAUCCAGGAGAAAAUUGUGCCGCGCGCACCGCUUUCCCUUAACCCGCCGUUUCGUCUGGACUCGACCGUGUGAAGCGCGUCAGAGCGUGUGAAGACACCGCUCCAUCUCAAGACCGGCUGCUAACGAGCUGCAGAGUUCUACUGGAUCCUAGAGAAGCUGUGAACGUAAACCGGCUCCUCUGAUGAAGCAGGAGUACAGGAGCAUCCUCCUCCUCCUCCUCCUCCUCGUUUGCGCUCGGAGAAAAACCCACACGGUGAAUUUGCAGACGAGCCGAACUGAAAUCAGUCCGCGGUUUCAUUUCACGGCAGCAGAUAUGGCGGCGAUGUGAAGAUGGUGUGAAGAUCGGUAGGGCCGCUCGUCGGCUCUAGAGUCGAAACAACUUCAACCCUCCGGGAAAAAACAGGCCGCGGUGAGGUAACGCUCCGACCGUACUCCACGAGGAACGCCGCGGACAUCGAAUUGGGACGUCGGCGCUCGGAAUCACGGAGUCCAAAACGUUCAGGAUCACGCGUGCGGGUUCCCACUGAUGAUUUCUCCAAAGCAAACGUCUGAUAAACGUCACCGAUCACCCAUCAGCCUGCUGACGUAUCUGAUGAAGAGACGAGCGUGUAACCGGUUUAAAGAUAGCGGUGGACGUCAUCGAGGAAAUCACAGUAAUUAUCCUCGUCCGAAGGUCACAAGAAGGUCUGGGGGGGGGGGGGGGGGAAGAUGUGAAGCGAUCGGGGGGAAAUGAGCGCAGAAGCAGGACAGGUGCUUUCAGGUGAUUUAAUUACGUACAGUUACUGCACAAUUAGACUCUGUUAUGAAUCGGGGUCACCGUGACCAUGCUCAGUCAGAAUAAAUCCAUCUCUCAGCGCUCUCGCAUGGAGACGGAGAGGGAAAUCACAUUUACACCAACGUCGGCGCGUACGCUCCUCUCCGCGGUGUAACGGUCCGUCAUCGGGUCUCGGCAGACUUUCUGAGAAGGUUCAGCAUCAUGGAGACUCGUUACGGCCCCGCCUCGCCUCUCAUCGUACCGCCUUUCAUCUCAUCGGCGUGAUGACGGAUAAAAACCCACCGCCGGCGUGACCCGUAUCCGCGUUCUGUACUCUGACGAGGCGUCCAUCGGCCGCGCACGCUAAACACGCAGCGCGACAAAACACCGGACGGGUCGAGCGUUACUUUUCUUUUCCGGUGGAAGAACGCAUCAUAAACGUAUGAUCUCAGAAUAAUCUGAAGGAUGAAAGUCAUGGGAGACCGAUUAAUGAACGUCCUGUGACCUGGACGCAACAAAAAAAAAAAGGAAGUUAAAUUGGGGAUUUUCUGAGGCUUAAUGAUAAAACGCGCCAGAUAAAGAACGCAAUCUGCUCCGUCAACGAGACUUCGAGUCAAAUGCUAUAGACGCACCGAUACGAUAUUACGCUCCGAUACACACACACACACACACACACACACACACACACGUAUUAACGUCAUCCGUUCUAUCAUGUGACACAAGCGUAGUGACGUUGCGCUAUUAAAGCCAGACGACAGGAAACAACCGCGAUCUGGACAAGAAACCAAUCAAUCCUCUGGAUCAAAUCGCUCCUCUUUAAUAAUGACGCCAUGUCCACAUUAACCCGGAUCCAUCUCAGAACACCUUCUCCCGCUACGUCUUUUGAAAACGCGGCUUUCGCGGACCGGGAAAACAGACCCAUUCCAUUCAUAAUGAUGUAUCUGUGGUCAUGUGACUCGACUCAACUCAAACAAGAUGGCGGACGACGUGGUGCUGCAGUUGUCGUGCCUGAUAUCCAGUCUGAUAGCUUUGUUGAAGAUUAACGUCACUUUCGACAACCUUCAGCUCGCGUUUUUACCCCAAAACCACUUUAAUCGCUGUGCUACGGCACUCGAGUCUGUUCAGAUCGCGUCAGAGGCGAAUCUGCUGUGGAAAACACUCGCACCAGAAUCGAAUCAUGACUCUCACAGACUUUUGUUUUUACUUUUAGUACAACGCAGAAAUAAAUACUUAGAUCAUGAUUUUUAAAUUUUUUUUUUUUUUUUUAACGAGCCACAACCUCAGCCUGAGCCGUUUGUUUUUGUUAACAUGGACCUCGUCAGCCAUUUUAGACACUCCCCAAACACCCACACACUCCGCCCACACCUCAGUCUGAAAUCAGCCAACGCCCAGCGCAGCCUGAUAACCAACCAUUACAAAGAAAAACGGGACGGCGAAGGCUUGGCGGUCGUAAGUGAUGUCACGACAGUCCGGCUAACAAUAACGCUAGCUGAAGUGCCGUAAUUCUGUGGGCGGAGCCUUGUGUACACGCAUACUGCACCUUUAAACGUGUAAACAUCUCACCGACUGCACCUGCUACAGAAGACGUUUACAUAAUCUGAUAUAAAGAAACGAACGCAUCCCGCAUACGGUACCGUACCAAAAGUACCGAACUCGAGCUACAGGACAGUCUGCCGCAUCGAACCUGAUCCUUCAUCCAGACGGGCGCAGACGUGGAACCUUCUCCUCUUACACACGUCUCUACAGACCCUUCACACAGACUAGCUGAAUAAUACAAGGACCUCGGCACGUCUCUCUCCCGCACACUCGCACACUUCUAGACGAGACCUCCGACACGACGGCGGCACCAGAGAAGGCUCCGGAAAAUACCGCACCCUCUACAGACCGAGCGCCGACCAGCCAACCACGGGGCCGAGACGAUAACGCGGCAGCAGACUCGGCUCCCGUUCCACAAAUCCCUGAAUUUCUUCUCGCGCCGUAAACACCGUCGGUCGCUCGGCUCCUGCAAACACGCGCUCCACGUCCACGGUGCGAACAGCGGCAGGAAUUUCAGCAGCUGCGCUGCAACCCCGAAUCAACCGACAGGGACGCCGAGGCCGAGGCUUUUAAAGACGUGAAAAAGGAACGAACAAUUUUCCCCUCAAGGUUCCACAUACGGUUCGUCCGGGAUUCCCCGAGCGCAGAAAUCAACUCAAAAUCAAGGAAACUCAACAGAUUUGGCCCAAGACGUGUCACGUGACAUCCUAACGUGCAUUCAGCCAAAUCCCUCUCCCAUUCACGCGCGUCUAAAAGCUCUCGUUUACCAGCAAACAUCACUGCGAAAGAAUUUCUUGCGAUUUCACCGGAUCGCGUUAAAAAAAAACAAAAAAAACUGCAAGCUGCAUCGUGGAUUUUGAAAAUAAAUAAAUAAAUAAAUAAAUAAAUAAAUAAAUAAAUAAAUAGAGCGUUUUUUUGGCCACGACGAUUACAAAAACAAACCCCGGAGAGACCCUGUACGGACCGCUCCGCAUCACCGUAUCCGAGGUUACGCGCGUGCGUGGGGCGAGGUUUGGUCGAGAAACGAGUCCAGUCAGCUCACUCAGCUUCUCAAAUCACUCCGUCUGUACUGCACAAGAUUUAAAUUCUUU
Ictalurus punctatus (channel catfish) is the source of this 4045-nucleotide long non-coding RNA. Lineage: Eukaryota; Metazoa; Chordata; Actinopteri; Siluriformes; Ictaluridae. The record is from Ensembl.